Molecule: ribosomal RNA, 497 nt
Filed under: uncultured bacterium
Lineage: Bacteria
Description: partial 16S ribosomal RNA
Rfam family: Bacterial small subunit ribosomal RNA
Source: RNAcentral
GAUGAACGCUGGCGGCGUGCCUAAUACAUGCAAGUCGAGCGAACAGACGAGGAGCUUGCUCCUCUGACGUUAGCGGCGGACGGGUGAGUAACACGUGGAUAACCUACCUAUAAGACUGGGAUAACUUCGGGAAACCGGAGCUAAUACCGGAUAAUAUAUUGAACCGCAUGGUUCAAUAGUGAAAGACGGUUUUGCUGUCACUUAUAGAUGGAUCCGCGCCGCAUUAGCUAGUUGGUAAGGUAACGGCUUACCAAGGCAACGAUGCGUAGCCGACCUGAGAGGGUGAACGGCCACACUGGAACUGAGACACGGUCCAGACUCCUACGGGAGGAAGCAGUAGGGAAUCUUACGCAAUGGGCGAAAGCCUGACGGAGCAACGCCGCGUGAGUGAUGAAGGUCUUCGGAUCGUAAAACUCUGUUAUUAGGGAAGAACAAAUGUGUAAGUAACUAUGCACGUCUUGACGGUACCUAAUCAGAAAGCCACGGCUAACUACGUG